AACGCAUUAAGUUAUCCCCUGGGGAGUCGCCGCAAGGUUAAAAUUCAAAGAAUUCGGGCCUCCCAACGUGGACCAGUUUAAUUGAAGCAACGCGCAGAACCUACCAGCGUUCAUGGUAGGACGACUUCCAGAUGGAUUUCUUCCCUUCGGGGACUACACACAGUAUGCAUGUCGUAGUCAGCUGUGUGAGAGAUGUGGGUUAAGUCCGCAACGAGAGCAACCCUCGACUUUAGUUACCAUCAUUAAGUUGGGUACUUAAAGUACCCCGGUGAUAAGCCGGAGGAAGGGGGGGAUGCGUCAAGUCCUCAUGCCCCUUACGCGCUGGGCUACACACGUGCUACAAUGGCAAGUACAGUGGGCAGCAAUCCCGCGAGGGGAAUAAUCUCCAGAACAUGUCUCAGUUGGAUUGUGCUCUAACUCGCCGAGGCGAAUCCGCUAUAUCCGGUAAGAAGUAGGA
Molecule: ribosomal RNA, 457 nt
Filed under: Sphingomonas sp.
Lineage: Bacteria; Pseudomonadati; Pseudomonadota; Alphaproteobacteria; Sphingomonadales; Sphingomonadaceae
Description: bacterial SSU rRNA
Rfam family: Bacterial small subunit ribosomal RNA
Source: RNAcentral